This 552-nucleotide ribosomal RNA is filed under the name uncultured eukaryote. RNAcentral describes it as "bacterial SSU rRNA". It matches the Rfam family "Eukaryotic small subunit ribosomal RNA", at positions 21 to 549 of the family's 1831-position model. The record is from RNAcentral.
UAGUCAUAUGCUUGUCUUAAAGAUUAAGCCAUGCAUGUCUAAGUGUAAAUGAAUAUUGCACAGUGAAACUGCGAAUGGCUCAUUAAAACAGUUAUAGUUUACUCGAUGAUGAAUAGUUACAUGGAUAACUCUGGUAAUUCUAGAGCUAAUACAUGCAACCCGAAAGGGACAAGCAUCCAGCUUUUGUUGGGUGCUGCAUUUAUUAGACACUAUUGCCAAACCAACCUUUCCAAAAGAAAGGGCAUUGGUGAGUCAUAAUAACUGAGCUGAUCGUAUGGCCAAGAGCCGACGACGGAUCAUUCAGAUUUCUGCCCUAUCAACUUUCGAUGGUAGGAUAUGGGCCUACCAUGGUUAUUACGGGUAACGGAGAAUCAGGGUUCGAUUCCGGAGAGGGCGCCUGAGAAAUGGCGACCACAUCCAAGGAAGGCAGCAGGCGCGCAAAUUACCCAAUCCUGACACAGGGAGGUAGAGACAAGAAAUAACGAUGCAGGGCCCAAUGGGUCGUUGCAAUUGGAAUGAGAAGGGAGUAGACAACCUAUUCGAGUAACAAUU